AUUGAACGCUGGCGGCAUGCCUUACACAUGCAAGUCGAACGGCAGCACGGGAGCAAUCCUGGUGGCGAGUGGCGAACGGGUGAGUAAUAUAUCGGCACGUGCCCAGUAGUGGGGGAUAACUGCUCGAAAGAGCAGCUAAUACCGCAUACGACCUGAGGGUGAAAGCGGGGGAUCGCAAGACCUCGCGCUAUUGGAGCGGCCGAUAUCAGAUUAGCUAGUUGGUGGGGUAAAAGCUCACCAAGGCGACGAUCUGUAGCUGGUCUGAGAGGACGACCAGCCACACUGGGACUGAGACACGGCCCAGACUCCUACGGGAGGCAGCAGUGGGGAAUUUUGGACAAUGGGCGCAAGCCUGAUCCAGCCAUGCCGCGUGCGGGAAGAAGGCCUUCGGGUUGUAAACCGCUUUUGUCAGGGAAGAAACGGCUCCUACUAAUACUGGGGGCUAAUGACGGUACCUGAAGAAUAAGCACCGGCUAACUACGUGCCAGCCGCCGCCGUAA
RNAcentral lists this ribosomal RNA (500 nucleotides) under uncultured bacterium. Its description in RNAcentral is "partial 16S ribosomal RNA". It matches the Rfam family "Bacterial small subunit ribosomal RNA", at positions 29 to 523 of the family's 1533-position model. The record is from RNAcentral.